Pan troglodytes (chimpanzee) is the source of this 645-nucleotide long non-coding RNA. RefSeq lists it as uncharacterized. The record is from RefSeq and is a predicted model, not a curated record. Lineage: Eukaryota; Metazoa; Chordata; Mammalia; Primates; Hominidae. The transcript is spliced from 2 exons.
UCAGCUAUAUUAACAUAACUGCUGCAGCUAUGAAAACAAAAAAAGACAACAAUUGAUAGGAUGAGAAAACACUUUGCAGAGAAGGUGACACUUGCAAACAUGUGUCAUUGGUUGCCACGGGCAUGGGUCAAAGCCAUCAUCCUUUGUGACUGAGCAAACAAUUCUGCACCUGUUCUCUGGGUAGUGGUUCCGUGGCAUUUUGUUUGUGUGGUUUGGGACAGGACGUUAAAUUAUGGAAAAUUUGAGAGUCAUUGCCUGUGUAUUUUCAUCAGAUAGCACAGGGUGUGACAAGUUUAGACUCCAGUCUCCCUCUCUCUGAAAAAAAACAAACUUUCUUGGAAUUUUCUUCUCAAGUUACAGAGAACAACUUCAAGAGCAUUGAGUCAUAUAUUCAGAAAAGACUAAGUGACUCAACUUGGCCAGUGACAGUGGAUCAAUGAUACGUCAAAUAAGUCCUCUAGAAGCCUCUGGCAAAAGGUUUCAGAAGGUUAUCAUUGUGUAUGAAGGAGGGGCCUAGAUUUCCCUCAGAAGAAGCCAAAAAUAGAGGGUUGGGGCCAAGAGGAUCACAGGGAAUGGUAUUCCUGGGCCAACCCUACCUCUGGCCCUCCUUUCAAAUGAACCAAUAAAGUCUCUGUAAAACAAUAA